CCUACGGGCGGCAGCAGUGGGGAAUAUUGGACAAUGGGGGGAACCCUGAUCCAGCGACGCCGCGUGAGUGAAGAAGUAUUUCGGUAUGUAAAGCUCUAUCAGCAGGGAAGAAAGACAUGACGGUCCCUGACUAAGACGCCCCGGCUAACUACGUGCCAGCAGCCGCGGGAAUACGUAGGGGGCAAGCGUUAUCCGGAUUUACUGGGUGUAAAGGGAGCGUAGACGGCGAUGCAAGUCUGAAGUGAAAGGCGGGGGCCCAACCCCCGGACUGCUUUGGAAACUGUAUGGCUGGAGUGCAGGAGAGGUAAGUGGAAUUCCGAGUGUAGCGGUGAAAUGCGUAGAUAGUAGGAGGAACACCAGUGGCGAAGGCGGCUUACUGGACUGUAACUGACGUUGAGGCUCGAAAGCGUGGGGAGCAAACAGGAUUAGAUACCCUAGUAGUC
This 443-nucleotide ribosomal RNA is filed under the name uncultured bacterium. Its description in RNAcentral is "partial 16S ribosomal RNA". It matches the Rfam family "Bacterial small subunit ribosomal RNA", at positions 338 to 795 of the family's 1533-position model. The record is from RNAcentral.